CUUGCUCGCUGCUGCUGCCACGUAAGAAGUGUGUUGCUUCCCCUUCGUCUUCCACCAUGAAUAACAGAACGGCAAUUUUCACGUGGUGUUAAUUUCCGUGGAAGAAGAAAAGGCUCGACUCUCUGUCCUACUUUUCAUGAAUACUGGAAGUAGGGAAUAAAUCUGGAGUCUCACGGGUGAAAAGAGACAUUUCCAUAUUACCAGACCACAAACGUGGGUGUUGAUUCUAAGGAUACCCCCAAUAAACAUCUUUCGUGCUAAAGCCCAUUCCAGAAUUUACUUCCCAGCUAUCUUUGAUGUUCAUAUUGUCAGAGGUGGUGGCCACUGAAAUAGGCAAAGACAUGGAGCAUAUCUUGGGUCCAGGUAAAGGAGGUGGGUGCACACAAGUGAAAAGAUGUUGCUGAAGUCACGUGGCUUCAAGCAGUAGAGCUGACUGUCCUCUAGUCCAGUUGUCCCUACAGGAUGAAAGCUUCUCUCCAUUACAGAGACCUUGGGAGUCCAGAGGAAGGUCUUUUUACCAUCAGCAUUCUCUACUGUGUUCAAGGACUGUCAGCCAAAGAUGGCCAGGUUCUCUACUGUGAUGGUGAAUUUUAUGUGUCAAUUUGACUGGACCAUGGGAUGCCCAGCUUUCCUUCAGAAAGAAAUGCAUUCAAAGAACCUACAUUCACAACAUAAAGAAAUAAAGCCUGCACCUACAGAUCUACACACAUGCCCAUGCACAUGCAGGAAGUGUUCAUCAAAGACCGGACCUUUUAGAAGAAAGCUGGCAUACAUUCGUGAAGGCAUGGGCUUCCAGGCAUGUCAUCUUCACUCACGAAGUACACACAAGACCGCCAAGCAUUAAGAUUCUCCUGUGGAGCCAGGCAACAAUCCUUUAAAUGAAGACAGACAGCUAGGUGGCUGCAGCCCAGCGCUACACCUCACCCCUCCCUCAGUGUCAUGCAGAAAAAAUGUAUUCAGAAGUCAGAAGUGAAGUUGUGCAAAUCCAUCAUUGACACUAGCUUCAGGGUUACCUCGGGGGAGCUGAAUGUACCCCUGCCAGAGAGCUGGAUGGAUGAUGAUGGGGACAGAAAUUCUGGGGGAGUUGUAAAUGGCAGCCACUGCCUCUAUAGGAAACCCAAAGGGAACACAGCAGAAGAGGAGGUGGUGGAGGAGCCACUGCCCUCUCGAAGGGUUCGAUGUCAUUCUGCAGACACAACCAAAUAACUUUUUCUUCCCUGCUGCUCCUCCAUUUGAAAUGACAGCCCCGAGCUCGCUUUUUCCUUGAUUGUGUAACUCUGAUUACAGACAAGGCCAAGGCAAUCCCAGGGCUUUACUACAAAGCUAAGGGGUCCCCAAAGAACUAAAGAGUCAGCUCCACAAAAAUCCCAAUUCCUAGCAUGAAACUGAAAUAUGAAACCAAACGGGCGUAGAAAAGGUAUGUGCAUUCGAAUCACAUAGCAGUGACUGGAGUCCUGAGCUGUGUCUGAAGACUGUGAGAUCACGUUUGGAGCUGCUGAUUGGUUUUCAGUGAUGGCCCCAUUGCACAGUGCCGUGAGACUUAGCUCCGUGGCCAAAGACGAUGGUAUCCCCUAGGAGCCCUGUGAGGUUGCUGCUGUUCUCUUAAGACACCAGGUAGCCAUCUGAUCUUCCCUGAGCAAACUAACUGGGCAGACAGGUUUAUUAAACCUCUGUUGGUCCGACUUACAUGAAACAAGAGAGUUAUUUUGUUGUUGUUGUUUUGUUUUGUUUUAAAUUAAACCUGUCUUUGGAGCCUCCUG
Molecule: long non-coding RNA, 1760 nt
Filed under: Pan troglodytes (chimpanzee)
Lineage: Eukaryota; Metazoa; Chordata; Mammalia; Primates; Hominidae
Description: lincRNA
Source: RNAcentral